RNAcentral lists this transfer RNA (73 nucleotides) under Stegodyphus mimosarum. It matches the Rfam family "tRNA". From Rfam's summary of the family: Transfer RNA (tRNA) molecules are approximately 80 nucleotides in length. Their secondary structure includes four short double-helical elements and three loops (D, anti-codon, and T loops). The record is from Rfam by way of RNAcentral. Lineage: Eukaryota; Metazoa; Arthropoda; Arachnida; Araneae; Eresidae.
GUCUUCGUGGCGUAGUGGUCAGCUCGCUUGAAUAGUAUUUGAGAGGUCCGUGGUUCAAGUCCCGGCGAGGGCA